GGCGGCCCCCUCCACACCCCGCGGGCCCCCGGACCCCGCCGGGCUGCUGCACCCCCUCCCCUUCGGGGGCGCCUCUGGCGCCGAGCGGGGAACCGGAGGCCCGCAGAAGUGGAAGCCCCGGAGAGACUUUAAGCAGCGGGACCCCGGGACUCCUCCGCAAGAGAGACACAAAGCUUCGGGGCUGGAGGAGCUGAGCUGAGGAUCAGCACGUUGGAGGGGACCGGGAACUCCGCACACAAAGGACGCUCCACUUGGCUGGCAGCCACGGUGUCACGAGUGGAGAAGGGGCAGGACGGGGGGUGAUGAAAGAGGAACAGUGUCACCUCCAGAAUGCUUCCAUCCCUCCGGGACAUCUAUCUUCUCCAAGCCCCAACCAUGAAAGAAACUUCCAAAUUAGCAGAUAUCGCUGAGAACCUAAGUUGUUCCAGGCACUGAUAGAGAGGUGUGAGUAGCAUGGUAUAAAAAGUCAUGAACGAAUUCACAUGAGGCAGUAGAAGAUGCACGUCUUCUCAUGGGAGAACUUCUAGAGGACUAAAGAUGAGGUUACUGGCCUCUUUUAUUCUUUUCAUGAUGCCCACCCAUUCCUGUGAAUGACUCCUGUAGCAUCACUAAAAUGUCAUCUCCAGCUUGUUCUCCAGGAAGGAUGAACGUGUGGAAGCUGGCAUUUGAUUUCUUCCUGCUGGCUACUGACCUUAGAGAGACAGCAUGGACAGUGUGGAUACUCACUCUAACAUCAGGC
This is a long non-coding RNA of Canis lupus familiaris (dog), 739 nucleotides long. RefSeq lists it as uncharacterized. The transcript is spliced from 4 exons. The record is from RefSeq and is a predicted model, not a curated record. NCBI's taxonomy places the organism in Eukaryota, Metazoa, Chordata, Mammalia, Carnivora, Canidae.